Molecule: long non-coding RNA, 261 nt
Organism: Sinocyclocheilus anshuiensis
Lineage: Eukaryota; Metazoa; Chordata; Actinopteri; Cypriniformes; Cyprinidae
Exons: 3
Source: RefSeq, a predicted model, not a curated record
AGGAAAAAGGGAGAGAACAGGUUACGGCCACUGAGGGAAAUGUGAAGGAAUGACUGCAGUAAAGUGUAGGUUCUUUGGAUUUUUCUGCUUGCUAUCCCACUGCAGUUGAAGCUCGGCGGUGCUCAAAGGCCACCUAGAGGACUCAUUGGGGAACUGCACAGCACAAAAUACUGCAGUACCCCCUCCUCUUCAAGCUUUCUCCCCGACUGAGGAGCAGAGAGGGUGGGAGAAUGGAUCAGCAGGUCAGUCCGAGGUCAAGAC